GACGAACGCUUGCGGCGUGCCUAAGAAAUGCAAGUCGAGCGAGGUUCAGGCUUCGGCCGAAAACCUAGCGGCGAACGGUCGCGUAACACGUAAGCAACCUGCCCUGGAGUGGGGGAUAGCCCGCCGAAAGGCGGAUUAAUACCGCAUGUGGACAUCAGAUCGCAUGUUUUGAUGUCUGAAGCAGCAAUGCGCUCCAGGAUGGGCUUGCGGCCUAUCAGCUAGUUGGUGGGGUAACGGCCUACCAAGGCGACGACGGGUAGCUGGUCUGGAGAGGAUGGUCAGCCCGGACUGGGACUGAGACACGGCCCAGACUCCUACGGGGGGCAGCAAUUAGGAAUCUUGCGCAAUGGGCGAAAGGCCUGACGCAGCGACGCCGCGUGACUGAUGAAGUCUUUCGGGAUGGUAAAGGUCUUUUGCACGGGACGAAGGAAGUGACGGUACCGUGCGAAUAAGCCCCGGCUAACUACGUGCCAGCAGCCGGGUAAACUAGUCUACG
RNAcentral lists this ribosomal RNA (496 nucleotides) under uncultured bacterium. Its description in RNAcentral is "bacterial SSU rRNA". It matches the Rfam family "Bacterial small subunit ribosomal RNA", at positions 28 to 531 of the family's 1533-position model. The record is from RNAcentral.